Molecule: ribosomal RNA, 355 nt
Filed under: uncultured rumen bacterium
Lineage: Bacteria
Description: partial 16S ribosomal RNA
Source: RNAcentral
UAUUCCCCACUGCUGCCUCCCGUAGGAGUCUGGGCCGUAUCUCAGUCCCAAUGUGGCCGUUUAACCUCUCAGUCCGGCUACUGAUCAUCGUCUUGGUAGGCCGUUACCCCACCAACUAACUAAUCAGACGCAAGCCCAUCUAUUAGCGAAUUGCUCCUUUUCUGACUACAUCAUGCGAUGUUUCCAGCUUAUACGGUAUUAGCAAUGAUUUCUCACUGUUAUUCCCUACUAAUAGGCAGGUUGCUUACGCGUUACUCACCAGUCCGCCACUAACCGCUUCCAUUAGUAAACUAACGAAUUAAGUCCGUUCGACUUGCAUGUCUUAUGUGCGCCGUCAGCGUUCAUCCUGAGCCAA